Molecule: ribosomal RNA, 503 nt
Filed under: uncultured bacterium
Lineage: Bacteria
Description: bacterial SSU rRNA
Rfam family: Bacterial small subunit ribosomal RNA
Source: RNAcentral
UCAGGAUGAACGCUAGCUACAGGCUUAACACAUGCAAGUCGAGGGGCAGCAUGUGGUUGCUGCAACAAUGAUGGCGACCGGCGCACGGGUGAGUAACGCGUAUCCAACCUUCCCUGUAGUAGAGAAUAGCCCGGCGAAAGUCGGAUUAAUACUCUAUGUUAUUCAAUGCGGACAUCUAAGUUGAAUCAAAGGUUUACCGCUAUAGGAUGGGGAUGCGUCUGAUUAGGUUGUUGGCGGGGUAACGGCCCACCAAGCCCUCGAUCAGUAGGGGUUCUGAGAGGAAGGUCCCCCACAUUGGAACUGAGACACGGUCCAAACUCCUACGGGAGGCAGCAGUGAGGAAUAUUGGUCAAUGGGCGAGAGCCUGAACCAGCCAAGUAGCCGUGCAGGAUGACGGCCCUAUGGGUUGUAAACUGCUUUUAUACAGGGAUAAAGUCGGGGACGUGUCCCCGUUUGUAGGUACUGUAUGAAUAAGGACCGGCUAAUUCCGUGCCAGCCGCUGC